This 497-nucleotide ribosomal RNA is filed under the name uncultured bacterium. RNAcentral describes it as "partial 16S ribosomal RNA". It matches the Rfam family "Bacterial small subunit ribosomal RNA", at positions 28 to 507 of the family's 1533-position model. The record is from RNAcentral.
GAUGAACGCUGGCGGCGUGCCUAAUACAUGCAAGUCGAGCGAACAGACGAGGAGCUUGCUCCUCUGACGUUAGCGGCGGACGGGUGAGUAACACGUGGAUAACCUACCUAUAAGACUGGGAUAACUUCGGGAAACCGGAGCUAAUACCGGAUAAUAUAUUGAACCGCAUGGUUCAAUAGUGAAAGACGGUUUUGCUGUCACUUAUAGAUGGAUCCGCGCCGCAUUAGCUAGUUGGUAAGGUAACGGCUUACCAAGGCAACGAUGCGUAGCCGACCUGAGAGGGUGAUCGGCCACACUGGAACUGAGACCAGGUCCAGACUCCUACGGGAGGCAGCAGUAGGGAAUCUUCCGCAAUGGGCGAAAGCCUGACGGAGCAACGCCGCGUGAGUGAUGAAGGUCUUCGGAUCGUAAAACUCUGUUAUUAGGGAAGAACAAAUGUGUAAGUAACUAUGCACGUCUUGACGGUACCUAAUCAGAAAGCCACGGCUAACUACGUG